RNAcentral lists this transfer RNA (106 nucleotides) under Pseudogymnoascus sp. VKM F-3775. It matches the Rfam family "tRNA". Rfam says of the family: Transfer RNA (tRNA) molecules are approximately 80 nucleotides in length. Lineage: Eukaryota; Fungi; Ascomycota; Leotiomycetes; Thelebolales; Thelebolaceae. The record is from Rfam by way of RNAcentral.
UCCGGUAUAGUGUAGGGGUUAACAUAACCCGCUUUCAAAAAGAGUUCCUUUGCAAAAAGAUUCUUUUAGAGCCGGGUAGCCCCGGGUUCGAUUCCCGGUACCGGAA